GAGGUUAUAGCUCAGUGGUAGAGCACAUGCUUAGCAUGCAUGAGGUCCUGGGUUCAAUCCUCAUUCCUCC
RNAcentral lists this transfer RNA (70 nucleotides) under Camelus bactrianus (Bactrian camel). It matches the Rfam family "tRNA". From Rfam's summary of the family: Transfer RNA (tRNA) molecules are approximately 80 nucleotides in length. Their secondary structure includes four short double-helical elements and three loops (D, anti-codon, and T loops). Further hydrogen bonds mediate the characteristic L-shaped molecular structure. tRNAs have two regions of fundamental functional importance: the anti-codon, which is responsible for specific mRNA codon recognition, and the 3' end, to which the tRNAs corresponding amino acid is attached (by aminoacyl-tRNA synthetases). tRNAs cope with the degeneracy of the genetic code in two manners: having more than one tRNA (with a specific anti-codon) for a particular amino acid; and 'wobble' base-pairing, i.e. permitting non-standard base-pairing at the 3rd anti-codon position. Lineage: Eukaryota; Metazoa; Chordata; Mammalia; Artiodactyla; Camelidae. The record is from Rfam by way of RNAcentral. RNAcentral also lists the same sequence under 3 other names.